GGAUGGUCUAGCCAUGCGAGUCAUUGUAGCAAUACAAGGGCGGACGGCUCAGUAACACGUAGUCAACCUAACUCGGUGGACGUGGAUAACCUCGGGAAACUGAGAAUAAACCACGAUAGAUCAUAGUGCCUGGAAUGGCUUAUGGUCCAAACAGUUUACUGCCAUGGGAUGGGACUGCGGCCUAUCAGCUUGUUGGUGAGGUAAUGGCCCACCAAGGCGAUUACAGGUACGGGCUCUGAGAGGAGUAGCCCGGAGAUGGGUACUGAGACACGGACCCAGGCCCUAUGGGGCGCAGCAGGCGAGAAACCUUAGCAAUGUGCGAAAGCACGACUGGGUCAGUCCGAGUGAUUCCUGAUAAAGGAGUCUUUUACCUGUCCUAAAAGCACAGGUGAAUAAGGGGUGGGCAAGUCUGGUGUCAGCCGCCGCGGUAAUACCAGCACCUCGAGUGGUCAGGACGUUUAUUGGGCCUAAAGCAUCCGUAGCCGGCUCUGCAAGUCUUCGGUUAAAUCCACCUGCUCAACAGAUGGGCCGCUGGAGAUACUACAGAGCUAGGGAGUGGGAGAGGCANACGGUAUUCAGUGGGUAGGGGUAAAAUCCUCUGAUCCAUUGAGGACCACCAGUGGCGAAGGCGGUCUGCCANAACACGUUCGACGGUGAGGGAUGAAAGCUGGGGGAGCAAACCGGAUUAGAUACCCGGGUAGUCCCAGCUGUAAACGAUGCAAACUCGGUGAUGCAUUGGCUUAUGGCCAAUGCAGUGCCGCAGGGAAGCCGUUAANUUUGCCGCCUGGGAAGUACGGACGCAAGUCUGAAACUUAAAGGAAUUGGCGGGGGAGCACCACAAGGGGUGAAGCCUGCGGUUCANUUGGAUUCAACGCCGGGAA
RNAcentral lists this ribosomal RNA (881 nucleotides) under uncultured archaeon. Its description in RNAcentral is "bacterial SSU rRNA". It matches the Rfam family "Archaeal small subunit ribosomal RNA", at positions 36 to 924 of the family's 1478-position model. The record is from RNAcentral.